RNAcentral lists this ribosomal RNA (407 nucleotides) under uncultured bacterium. RNAcentral describes it as "partial 16S ribosomal RNA". It matches the Rfam family "Bacterial small subunit ribosomal RNA", at positions 30 to 526 of the family's 1533-position model. The record is from RNAcentral.
AUUGAACGCUGGCGGCAGGCCUUACACAUGCAAGUCGAGCGGAGCGGCGGACGGGUGAGUAAUGCCUAGGAAUCUGCCUGGUAGUGGGGGAUAACGUCCGGAAAUGGGCGCUAAUACCGCAUACUAUCAGAUGAGCCUCUGUCGGAUUAGCUAGUUGGUGGGGUAAAGGCCUACCAAGGCGACGAUCCGUAACUGGUCUGAGAGGAUGAUCAGUCACACUGGAACUGAGACAAGGUCCAGACUCCUACGGGAGGCAGCAGUGGGGAAUGUUGGACAAUGGGGGAAAGCCUGAUCCAGCCAUGCCGCGUGUGUGAUGAAGGUCUUCGGGUUGUAAAGCACUUUAGGUUGGGAGGCGUUACCAGCAGAAUAAGCACCGGCUAACUUCGUGCCAGCAGCCGCGGUAAUAC